RNAcentral lists this ribosomal RNA (472 nucleotides) under uncultured bacterium. Its description in RNAcentral is "SSU rRNA". It matches the Rfam family "Bacterial small subunit ribosomal RNA", at positions 26 to 523 of the family's 1533-position model. The record is from RNAcentral.
AGGACGAACGCUGGCGGCGUGCCUAACACAUGCAAGUCGAACGGGGCCCGCAAGGGUUCAGUGGCGAACGGGUGCGUAACACGUGAAGAACUUGUCCAUCGGCGGGGAUAGCCGGCCCAACGGCCGGGUAAUACCGCGUACGCUUGUCGGAUGGCAUCACCUGACAAGGAAAGCAGCAAUGCACCGAUGGAGAGCUUCGCGGCCUAUCAGCUAGUUGGCGGGGUAAUGGCCCACCAAGGCGACGACGGGUAGCUGGUCUGAGAGGAUGACCAGCCACAUUGGGACUGAGACACGGCCCAGACUCCUACGGGAGGCAGCAGUGGGGAAUAUUGCGCAAUGGGGGAAACCCUGACGCAGCGACGCCGCGUGUGGGAUGACGGCCUUCGGGUUGUAACCACUGUCGGGAGGGACGAAGAUCUGACGGUACCUCCAAAGGAAGCACCGGCUAACUCUGUGUCAGCAGCCGCGGUAA